UUUUAUACUGAUGAAUGUAUGCAAAUGCAAAAAUAAAAGAAAAAAUGGAAAAAUUUCAGGAUCAAAAUCGGGGUAUGACAAAUACAAAAAAUAAAAAGUAAAAGAAAAGCCCGCUGAGUCGAAACUUGAAAACAAGUGACUUAGGCAAAAAAAAUUAGGGCAUCCCGGUGGAGUGCAAAUUCAAAAAAAAUAAGUCCAGGAAAAAUAAGGGAAAGCAAAACAUAAAAA
Molecule: long non-coding RNA, 228 nt
Filed under: Lathyrus oleraceus (garden pea)
Lineage: Eukaryota; Viridiplantae; Streptophyta; Magnoliopsida; Fabales; Fabaceae
Description: Pisum sativum (pea) long non-coding RNA (PSAT_LNC001220)
Source: RNAcentral